Long non-coding RNA from Cercocebus atys (sooty mangabey), 1541 nucleotides. RefSeq lists it as uncharacterized. The transcript has 2 exons. NCBI's taxonomy places the organism in Eukaryota, Metazoa, Chordata, Mammalia, Primates, Cercopithecidae. The record is from RefSeq and is a predicted model, not a curated record.
GCUGGGGAGAAACAGGACAACCUAACAAAACAGGGCCUGGACUCUUCCCUAAACAGACCACGUUUUUCUCCGCUCUUCCCCUUCCCACUCCCUGAAAUCUAGACUAAAACUCUUUUAAGAUAACUGCGAGGUAUAAAGAACGUCUAGAGCCUAAAGCGGCCCGUUGCCAGAUUCUACUCCUCAGGCCUCAAAUGUGAGCGUCCCAAACAAUCUAGAGCUGAACCUGGUAUGCUUGCCAGCCAAACUGCCGUGCUCGGGGCUCAGUAUCUCAUGCGCGGCCGUUCAAGAACCUCAGACACGCUCAGAAAACACUUGUUGCUUGACUGGUACAUUAUGGCGAGUAACGCAUCCCACAUAUUUCUUCUUAGAGAUAUAUAUCAUGCUAUACAUUUGUGAAGAACGGCUCGAUUUACAGGGGUUCCCACAACGAUCUGUCACAUACAAAAGAGUGGGUGGUAUUUUUACGUCAAAGAUGAACAGGCGAACGUUCAUCUAAAUCGUGUGGUAUCAGAUGUGGAGAGGCGUGGGGGGGCCGGGGGAGAAAGCAUUAAUUCUUCCAGCUUUAGACCCCGACGUAAUAUUUAAAACGUGGAUUGUUUUUCAAAUAAACUUUUCAAUGGACACGACAGCACCUCAUCCUGCGUUAAUACUGCAUUGCAACUAUAAAGAAAACCAGUGGAGGUACGCCUAUCUCCUAUCUCUCUAGUUGGCAAAAAAAGGGGGAAAAAAAAAAGGCAAUUUUUAACAUUUUCUCGUUUAUUCCCCUCUAAAAGGCGGGCAAGGCCCCCGAUCACGUGAUCCCGCCCCCCCUCCCCCCACCAACUCCGGGCGGAAGAGGCCGGCGACACCUCUGCACGAAGCGAGUGGGCGGCCGCUCGUGCCCGGCUACAAGAUGGCUGCUGCCGCCGGGCAGCCACCGCCUGGGAGGUUACUGUAAGGCCCGCAACUCCCGCCAGCUCCCGCGAACCGCUGCCGCCUCCUUACCAUGAAGCCAGUGAGUCGUCGCACGCUGGACUGGAUUUAUUCUGUGUUGCUGCUUGUCAUCGUUUUAAUCUCCUGGGGCUGCAUCAUCUAUGCUUCAAUGGUGUCUGCAAGACGACAGCUAAGGAAGAAAUACCCAGACAAAAUCUUUGGGACGAAUGAAAAUUUGUAACUCCUCUGGAUUUACUUCUCUGAAAAUAGUUCUUUCCCUCAUGCUUAGGUAGAUUUAAAAGUAAAAUUCAUAAUGCAAAGUUCCCAAGUUUAUUUUUGCAUUAUCCUUUAUAACAAGCACUAGUAUGCAAAUUUGCAGAAAUAUCAGGCACAUUUCACACCUCUUUUGCAGUUUUUGGUUUAGUUGCUGCUUGCCAUCGUUUUAAUCAACUGGGGCUGCAUCAUCUAUGCUUCAAUGGUGUCUGCAAGACGACAGCUAAGGAAGAAAUACAGACAAAAUCUUUGGGACGAAUGAAAAUUUGUAACUCCUCUGGAUUUAAUUCUUUGAAAAUACAGUUCUUUCCCUCAUGCUUAUGUAGAUUUAAAAAUAAAAUUCAUAAUGCAAAGUU